Long non-coding RNA from Manacus vitellinus (golden-collared manakin), 756 nucleotides. RefSeq lists it as uncharacterized. The record is from RefSeq and is a predicted model, not a curated record. NCBI's taxonomy places the organism in Eukaryota, Metazoa, Chordata, Aves, Passeriformes, Pipridae. The transcript has 3 exons.
CCGGGGCACAAAGGGAAGCGCGUCCCCUCCCGCCGGGCUCUCGGCUCCCAUCCCCGCACACCGACGGGGCACGGGCUCGUCCCUCGGGCACCGCCGAGCCGUCCCGCACGCCUUUGCUCCUCUGAGAAGAUUCCCCGUGGAAAGCACCGCUGCCCCACGGCCGGUGCCUCCUCCGCCUUGGCGGGGCUUUGCCUGCCUGGUCCGGCAGGAGAGCCAACGGUCCGGUGAAACACAUGACUUUUGAACGCGAGGUGAGAAUUGCCUCUUAAAUGCCAGCAAGCACGAAGAGAGCAAACCCAUAUAUUUCCCCUCCAAAUCUUUGAUUUGAGAAAUUUCAGCCAGCCCAGCUACCGUCAAUUUUUCGCUGUCCAGGACUGUAAACUUCAGAGCUAAAAGCAUUUAAUUGAGAAGACAGCAUCGCGCCUGGUGUAACUCACUUGUACAGUUUGCAUUUUCAACCUGAAAACAGAUACAACAGAGGGUAGCGAGUACUCGGCAGACCCUCCCAGCACACGCAGGAUAACCAGACCCACCUCUCUUGGCUGUACAGAAGUUCCUCACUCACAGGAGGAUGUUUUGACCCAGGCUCCAGCACCCUGCAGAGAACAGCAGCAGAUUUUGGAAGGACUUCACCAUCAAGCUCAUACCCAGAGCUCUCAACCAGCCCUCACAGGUGUUGGCACAAAAAAGGCAUAGAAGAAGAGAGAAUUCCUGCAUCAAGUACAGCCGCUAUGAGCAACCUUUGCAAAACAGACA